Molecule: ribosomal RNA, 443 nt
Filed under: uncultured bacterium
Lineage: Bacteria
Description: partial 16S ribosomal RNA
Rfam family: Bacterial small subunit ribosomal RNA
Source: RNAcentral
CCUACGGGUGGCAGCAGUGGGGAAUAUUGGGCAAUGGGCGCAAGCCUGACCCAGCAACGCCGCGUGAAGGAAGAAGGCUUUCGGGUUGUAAACUUCUUUUCUCAGGGACGAAGCAUGAGACGGUACCUGAGGAAUAAGCCACGGCUAACUACGUGCCUGCAGCCACGGCAAUACGUCGGUGGCAAGCUUUAUCCGGAUUUAAUGGGUGUAAAGGGCGUGUGGGCGGGGACGGAAGUCAGAUGUGAAAACCACGGGCUCAAACUGUGGCCGGCAGUUGAAACUGUGUUUCUUGAGUACUGGAGAGGCAGACGGAAUUCCUAGUGUAGCGGUGAAAUGCGUAGAUAUUAGGAAGAACACCAGUGGCGAAGGCGGUCUGCUGGACCGCAACUGACGCUGAGGCGCGAAAGCGUGGGGAGCAAACAGGAUUAGAUACCCUUGUAGUC